Haliotis rufescens (red abalone) is the source of this 1455-nucleotide long non-coding RNA. RefSeq lists it as uncharacterized. The transcript has 2 exons. The record is from RefSeq and is a predicted model, not a curated record. Lineage: Eukaryota; Metazoa; Mollusca; Gastropoda; Lepetellida; Haliotidae.
UAGUUAUGCUCCGGAAACGAAACGUGACGGACGGACGGAGCCCGUUUUUAUAUCCCCCGCCAACCUUGUUGGGCGGGGGAUAAUUCUAAAUAGUAAUACUUAUUUCAUUUUUUCCUCCAGAUACAUUUCGGUUGUCAUCCACUUUCUGUGGAGACUGCUGUAUGUUCCUGUACCAUAAGUUAGAGUCAGAGUUGUGGCCACAUCACAGGUGUUAUGUACCUGAUAGCAAACUACAAGUGUCUAAAAAUUGGUGUUGCUGCCAUUCCAGAUGAUGUCUGCAAAACUUCACUUCCCCAAACCUGCAUCUUCCUAGAGGAGAAAGAAUUAAGGGAGCUCAGUCAGAUGAUAUAGUUGUUUAAGAGUAUGACACUGAGAACCCUACUCGUGUCACUAAAGGUGUCCAUUCUAACCUCUACAAUCCUUUUUUCAAUCACCUCUACCACCAUAAUUCUAGCGAUAACAAACCAUUUUAGAUAUUCGUGGUCCCUCCUUCAGAUAAGCACUUCUUGUACAGUACCACGCUGUUAAAAUCGUUUCAGAUGCAUCCACUGCGAGCAAAUCAGUUAGAAUCUAUAUUUGAACGAGGCGCCAACUCAACAUUACGCUUGAAACAUGACUUGGAUCCUGAUUUGGUAUACGACGUCCGAGUAGAGCAGGGAGAGAACCAGUCAAGCUGCUAACGUCACGUGAUGCUAUGACAGUCUCGCGAGAUUUAUGACGUCGCCUUGACGACACUUUCACUACUGGCAUCGCCAUUGUUGAUGUUAUACUGCUGUCGUAUUGCUACUUACCUGCUGCCUUUUGCCUUGUAUUGUUCUCAUCUCCGCUUGUGAAAACCAUGAGCGCAUACACCCAAGCUCUUGACCUCGUGAUCAGGUUCCCUUUGAACUUUGACAUCUGGGCCCCUCCUCGCCAAGUGGGUGUCUUAGGGAAUCAGUAAUUUACUGUUAUUGUAAUUAAUUACUAAUAUGUGAUACAAAAUAUAUUCUAUUGAUUUGGAAAGUUAUAUUCAUGAGCAUUAUUAACUACGUAUCAUUAUCACUAACGUCCUUGUAACAUCAUAAUUAUCCCCUUAUUGAUCCAUUUCCAACAACUACCCUCUUCUUCCUGUACUCCUAUCGUCUGUCUCUCUCUACAUGUCUUUCUCUCCCUCCCUGUCAGCGUCCUACUGGGAGGUACAUGACCAUCCUUGAACCCCUGUCAGAACUCCCCGUCCCUUCCACCUCUAUCCCCGACCCCGACCCUCUCUCUGCCUCCGUCCCCCGUGAUACCCCUCACUUCGUCGAUAUCAACCUGGAUGAUGACGACACCCCGACCCAGUCCUUAGUUGGAGUCUUCCUGUCACGUGUGUCUGGAUUCUUGAGGAGAGUGUUCCGUGUCAAGAUGGACGCUUAGAGUGACAUCUUGCUACCUCUUGGACCUUGUGUCAUAAUAAUUUCCUUGGAGCUUUAGAAU